RNAcentral lists this transfer RNA (71 nucleotides) under Actinopolyspora lacussalsi subsp. righensis. Its description in RNAcentral is "Actinopolyspora righensis tRNA_Leu_CAA". Lineage: Bacteria; Bacillati; Actinomycetota; Actinomycetes; Actinopolysporales; Actinopolysporaceae. The record is from RNAcentral.
UGGCGGGUGUCAGUGUUGGUGAUGAGCCUUACAAGCAGGGGUCGCUGGUUCGAUCCCAGCUGCGCCUACCU